This is a non-coding RNA of Glycine soja, 976 nucleotides long. The record is from Rfam. NCBI's taxonomy places the organism in Eukaryota, Viridiplantae, Streptophyta, Magnoliopsida, Fabales, Fabaceae.
UUGUAUAAUAACUUUAUGUAUGUUUAUUAUUAUUGAAUUGAAAACGAAUCUUGUACGAAUAACUCUAUGCUAACAAUUACGGUAAGACAGAAUGCAAGCAUUAUUUGAAACGAUUAGGAAUAAAGUGUUUGUAGGAGGCUUUUUAAUAUGUUGGUCGCCAAAUCCUAGGGGCCUAAUUAACCUUGGAUAGAUGGUGGAAACCAUCAAGUUGGAGUAUAGUAAGGGUAAACAAAAUUUCAACUAGAACAGUGAAAUACGUAAUGAUAAAAAAGAACACCAACAACAAAAGGACUACACUGGGACACCCACAUUGAGAGAUGAAAUUUAGUGGAGUGAGAAUUAGAUACCUAUUAGUCAUAGCCGUAAAUGAUGAACAUUAGGUGUUAUGCAUAUCCAUUUCUGUGCAAUGUAAUAGCUAAUACAUUAAGUAUCCCACCUAGGGAUUAUGUUCAUAAUAAUGAAACUUAAAGGAAUUGACCAAGAGGAGCCGCACAGGCAAUGAAGUAUGUACGUAUGUGCUUUAAAUAGAUGCAAAACAAUGAACCUUGCUAGAGCUUGACAUGUUGUGAAUCCACUCAAAAGAAAAUGGUGUCUUUGGGAAUGUGAACAAGGUAGUGUAUGUCUGUCGACAGAUUGCGUAAUAAGGUGUUGGGUUAAGCCUUUCAACGAGUGCAACUCCCAUAUAUAGUUGCCAACUUUGAGUUUGGAGCCCUGAGUAAACUAUCAAAGAUAAGCAGGAGGAUGGUGAGGAUGAUAUCAAGUUAUGAUUCUUCUUUUGCCUUAGAUGACACACGUGCUAUAAUAGCAUGACAAAGGAUUGAUCCCCUAAAGGUCAGCUAACUCCAAAAACACUUGUUUUUUAGGAGUAUUUUAGCAGGUUGUAAUUAUAAUUAUCUUAAAAUACAAUUGAGGUAUAACUUGCGAAUUAAAUUCGCUAACAUACAUUCACUUUUUUUUAUACACACCUACUUUUUUU